AGUGGCGGACGGGUGAGUAACGCGUGGGUAACCUGCCUCAUACAGGGGGAUAACAGUUAGAAAUGACUGCUAAUACCGCAUAAGACCACAGCACCGCAUGGUGUAGGGGUAAAAACUCCGGUGGUGUGAGAUGGAUCCGCGUCUGAUUAGGUAGUUGGUGGGGUAACGGCCCACCAAGCCGACGAUCAGUAGCCGACCUGAGAGGGUGACCGGCCACAUUGGGACUGAGACACGGCCCAA
This 240-nucleotide ribosomal RNA is filed under the name uncultured bacterium. Its description in RNAcentral is "partial 16S ribosomal RNA". It matches the Rfam family "Bacterial small subunit ribosomal RNA", at positions 94 to 334 of the family's 1533-position model. The record is from RNAcentral.